UACGUAGGUGACAAGCGUUGUCCGGAUUUACUGGGCGUAAAGAGCGCGCAGGCGGUCGUUCAAGUCGAGUGUGAAAGCCCCCGGCUCAACUGGGGAGGGUCACUCGAUACUGAUCGACUCGAAGGCAGGAGAGGGAAGUGGAAUUCCCGGUGUAGUGGUGAAAUGCGUAGAUAUCGGGAGGAACACCGGUGGCGAAGGCGACUACCUGGCCUGAUCUUGACGCUGAGGCGCGAAAGCUAGGGGAGCAAACGGG
Molecule: ribosomal RNA, 253 nt
Filed under: uncultured bacterium
Lineage: Bacteria
Description: partial 16S ribosomal RNA
Rfam family: Bacterial small subunit ribosomal RNA
Source: RNAcentral